Molecule: long non-coding RNA, 731 nt
Filed under: Ananas comosus (pineapple)
Lineage: Eukaryota; Viridiplantae; Streptophyta; Magnoliopsida; Poales; Bromeliaceae
Description: long non-coding RNA (ACOM_LNC029812)
Source: RNAcentral
CCUCAUACUCUAAAGCACCGUGACACUUUGAUUUUCAAGCCUUAAUUUAUUAUAAUUUUAGACCUGAACUUUCCAUAUUACUGGAAUUAAGUUUUACUGUCUUAUUUAAUUAACUGAAAGCUGACGUGAUAACUGUUACGAUAAACGCACAAACGAAAACGAAAAUGACGAACACGAAAUAAAUAAAGCACAAACGGAAAUAAACGAGAACACACAUAUUUACGUAAAAAAUUCUUUGCAGGAAAAAAUCACGAGCAAGGGAGGACAAAACUUCACUAUCGAAAAGAGAAUACAAUGUUCGAGUACAACCAACCACAAUCUCACGUCUCUACGGGCUCUGGCCUAUCGGCCCGAGCCCUUCGCUACCUACCACAGACAUUCAUUUUUUCCUCACAAUUUUAUUUUCUAAUUUGAUCGCACCACGAAACCCGCACCCCCUGGCGAAUGUUAGUAGUGGGCUACAGGCUCGGACCUGUCAGUCCGAGUCCUCUGCUACCCGCCACAGACAUUUUUUUUUUCUUCUCAAUUUUAUUUUUUAAUUUGGUCGCACCGCGAAACUGUCGGCGAGUCGAAAUUCCAAACUAAAGUCGAUUAUCAAUUUCGAGUUACAUCUAACAGUAAUGAUGUGGCUUCUAUUUAUUACUACUCUAUAGACUACAACAUUUGUUACAACGUUACUGCCAUAUCAGCGACAGAUCCUGUACCAGAACUUCUACAUUUCAUUUUCAAUU